UGGGGAAUAUUGGACAAUGGGCGCAAGCCUGAUCCAGCCAUGCCGCGUGAGUAAUGAAGGCCCUAGGGUUGUAAAGCUCUUUCACCGGUGAAGAUAAUGACGGAAACCGGUGAAGAAGCCCCGGCUAACCUCGUUUCAGCAGCCGCGGUAAUACGAAGGGUGCUAGCGUUGUUCGGUUUUAUUGCGCGUAAAGCGCACGUAGGCGGACUUUUAAGUCAGGGGUGAAAUCCCAGGUCCCAACCCCUGAACUGACGUUGAUACUGGAAGUCUUGAGUAUGGUGGAGGUGAGUGUAAUUCCGGGGGUAGAGGUGAAAUUAGUACAUAUUCGGAGGAAAACCAGUGGCGAAGGCGGUUCACUGGACCAUUACUAACGCUGAGGUGCGAAAGCGUGGGGAGCAAACAGG
RNAcentral lists this ribosomal RNA (404 nucleotides) under Actinomycetes bacterium. RNAcentral's name for it is "Actinobacteria bacterium partial 16S ribosomal RNA". It matches the Rfam family "Bacterial small subunit ribosomal RNA", at positions 355 to 776 of the family's 1533-position model. The record is from RNAcentral. Lineage: Bacteria; Bacillati; Actinomycetota; Actinomycetes.